ACCCGCACAAGCAGCGGAGCGUGUGGUUUAAUUCGUUGCUACACGAAGAACCUUACCUGGGUUUGACAUAUAGGUUGUAGGGAACUGAAAGGGACGACCCUUCGGGGAGCCUAUACAGGUGUUGCAUGGCUGUCGUCAGCUCGUGUCGUGAGAUGUUCGGUUAAGUCCGCUAACGAGCGCAACCCUCGUCGUAUGUUAUAUGUGUCAUACGAGACUGCCGGUAAAAGCCGGAGGAAGGUGAGGAUGAUGUCAAGUCAGCAUGACCUUUAUAUCCAGGGCUACACACACGCUACAAUGGUCUGUACAAUGGGUAGCCAAGCCGCGAGGCGGAGCCAAUCCUGAAAGCAGGCCUCAGUUCAGAUUGCAGUCUGCAACUCGACUGCAUGAAGCCGGAGUUGCUAGUAACCGCAGGUCAGCAAUACUGCGGUGAAUACGUUCCCGGGUCUU
RNAcentral lists this ribosomal RNA (447 nucleotides) under uncultured Anaerolineaceae bacterium. Its description in RNAcentral is "bacterial SSU rRNA". It matches the Rfam family "Bacterial small subunit ribosomal RNA", at positions 919 to 1382 of the family's 1533-position model. Lineage: Bacteria; Bacillati; Chloroflexota; Anaerolineae; Anaerolineales; Anaerolineaceae. The record is from RNAcentral.